GUAGGCGAACGCUUUUUGGACCGUUCGCCUUCUGCAAAGUGCUAUUGAAAACGCCUUUGGUGUGUUCAAGUAUACUACUCCUGGACUAAAGGGCGCACACGGGGAUUGUUAAACAAACCCUUUCCUUUCCUUUGAGAGGUCCCUACGAGAGAUACUCUUGGCUCCAUGGUGAUCCAUAGUAACGAUAAACCGUUCUUGUCUUCCCUCUUCGUGCGGUCCGCUUGCGGUAAGGUUGGUACGCCGGAAGGGGUUCCUGUACGCUUGGCGACCUUCACGCAGCCACUUUGUUUACCCGGGAAGAGCAAGUCUCCAGAAAUUUCAUCACCAUUCACCAUCAUAUUUUGUAUCAGGAGACUCCAGCACCAUGGUCUGUGAGGUAGUGGCCUUGGACACACCACAGGAGGCCAUGGUCACACCACUGAUGGCCAUGGUCACACCACUGGUGGCCAUGGUAGAGGGGACAGUGGUGUUGGAGAAGACACCAGGACCAACCACUUAAAUACCAAGAGAAAAGGCCAAAAGGAGAUUCCAUGAAAGUGAUUUAUAUAUAGAUGCGCCAGAGGCCAGAAAUGUAAUGAAAGAAAAGGUUGAAACUCAAAAAAAAGAAUGAUGAAAAAGGAAUACCUAUUAAAUUUACAAAUAUUAGAUAUAGAGAUUAGGAA
Portunus trituberculatus (swimming crab) is the source of this 662-nucleotide long non-coding RNA. RefSeq lists it as uncharacterized. Lineage: Eukaryota; Metazoa; Arthropoda; Malacostraca; Decapoda; Portunidae. The record is from RefSeq and is a predicted model, not a curated record. The transcript has 2 exons.